AACUUUGUAGUGUAAAACCAAACGCACCUUCAAUUGCAAAUUGAAAAGAGACCAAGAAGUCCGAAGUUU
This 69-nucleotide transfer RNA is filed under the name Amphiura sp. JN-2020. RNAcentral describes it as "tRNA-Cys". The record is from RNAcentral. Lineage: Eukaryota; Metazoa; Echinodermata; Ophiuroidea; Amphilepidida; Amphiuridae.